RNAcentral lists this ribosomal RNA (604 nucleotides) under uncultured Gammaproteobacteria bacterium. RNAcentral's name for it is "bacterial SSU rRNA". It matches the Rfam family "Bacterial small subunit ribosomal RNA", at positions 55 to 648 of the family's 1533-position model. The record is from RNAcentral. Lineage: Bacteria; Pseudomonadati; Pseudomonadota; Gammaproteobacteria.
AUGCAAGUCGAACGGUAACAGAAAGCAGCUUGCUGCUUUGCUGACGAGUGGCGGACGGGUGAGUAAUGUCUGGGGAUCUGCCUGAUGGAGGGGGAUAACUACUGGAAACGGUAGCUAAUACCGCAUAACGUCGCAAGACCAAAGAGGGGGACCUUCGGGCCUCUUGCCAUCAGAUGAACCCAGAUGGGAUUAGCUAGUAGGUGGGGUAACGGCUCACCUAGGCGACGAUCCCUAGCCGGUCUGAGAGGAUGACCAGCCACACUGGAACUGAGACACGGUCCAGACUCCUACGGGAGGCAGCAGUGGGGAAUAUUGCACAAUGGGCGCAAGCCUGAUGCAGCCAUGCCGCGUGUAUGAAGAAGACCUUCGGGUUGUAAAGUACUUUCAGCGAGGAGGAAGGUGGUGAGUUUAAUACACUCAUCAAUUGACGUUACUCGCAGAAGAAGCACCGGCUAACUCCGUGCCAGCAGCCGCGGUAAUACGGAGGGUGCAAGCGUUAAUCGGAAUUACUGGGCGUAAAGCGCACGCAGGCGGUCUGUCAAGUCGGAUGUGAAAUCCCCGGGCUCAACCUGGGAACUGCAUCCGAAACUGGCAGGCUUGAGUC